This 327-nucleotide ribosomal RNA is filed under the name uncultured Nitrospirota bacterium. RNAcentral describes it as "bacterial SSU rRNA". It matches the Rfam family "Bacterial small subunit ribosomal RNA", at positions 32 to 351 of the family's 1533-position model. The record is from RNAcentral. Lineage: Bacteria; Pseudomonadati; Nitrospirota.
AGUCAACGUUGGCGGCGUGCAUAACACAUGCAAGUCGAACGCUUCUUAAGUGGCUUGCCAUUUAAGAAGAGUGGCGAACGGGUGAGUAACACGUGAGUAAUCUGCCCUCGAGUGGGGAAUAAGCCUCCGAAAGGAGGUCUAAUACCGCAUAAAACUCUGUGGCAUAAGCUUUCAGAGUCAAAGCCUUCGGGUGCUUGAGGAUGAGCUUGCGCCCUAUUAGCUAGUUGGUAGGGUAACGGCCUACCAAGGUAAUGAUGGGUAGCCGGCCUGAGAGGGUGUACGGCCACACUGGAACUGCGACACGGUCCAGACUCCUACGGGAGGCAG